CGAGUCAUUGUAGCAUACAAGGCAUACGGCUCAGUAACGCGUAGUCCACCUAACCUAUGGACGGGAAUAACCUCGGGAAACUGAGAAUAAUGCCCGAUAGAACAUUAUGCCUGGAAUGGUUUAUGUUCCAAAUGAUUUAUCGCCGUAGGAUGGGACUGCGGCCUAUCAGUUUGUUGGUGAGGUAAUGGCCCACCAAGACUAUUACAGGUACGGGCUCUGAGAGGAGUAGCCCGGAGAUGGGUACUGAGACACGGACCCAGGCCCUAUGGGGCGCAGCAGGCGAGAAAACUUUGCAAUGUGCGAAAGCACGACAAGGUUAAUCCGAGUGGUUUCUGCUAAAGAAACCUUUUGUCAGUCCUAGAAACACUGAUGAAUAAGGGGUGGACAAGUUCUGGUGUCAGCCGCCGCGGUAAAACCAGCACCUCAAGUGGUCAGGAUGAUUAUUGGGCCUAAAGCAUCCGUAGCCGGCUCUGUAAGUUUUCGGUUAAAUCUGUACGCUCAACGUACAGGCUGCCGGGAAUACUGCAGAGCUAGGGAGUGGGAGAGGUAGACGGUACUCGGUAGGAAGGGGUAAAAUCCUUUGAUCUAUUGAUGACCACCUGUGGCGAAGGCGGUCUACCAGAACACGUCCGACGGUGAGGGAUGAAAGCUGGGGGAGCAAACCGGAUUAGAUACCCGGGUAGUCCCAGCUGUAAACUAUGCAAACUCAGUGAUGCAUUGGCUUGUGGCCAAUGCAGUGCUGCAGGGAAGCCGUUAAGUUUGCCGCCUGGGAAGUACGUACGCAAGUAUGAAACUCAAAGGAAUUG
RNAcentral lists this ribosomal RNA (806 nucleotides) under uncultured crenarchaeote. Its description in RNAcentral is "bacterial SSU rRNA". It matches the Rfam family "Archaeal small subunit ribosomal RNA", at positions 54 to 867 of the family's 1478-position model. The record is from RNAcentral. Lineage: Archaea; Thermoproteati; Thermoproteota.